This 118-nucleotide ribosomal RNA is filed under the name Pteropus alecto (black flying fox). The record is from RNAcentral. Lineage: Eukaryota; Metazoa; Chordata; Mammalia; Chiroptera; Pteropodidae.
GUCUACGGCCAUGCUACCCUGAACAAGACUGAUCCGUCUGAUCUCGGAAGCUAAGCAGGGUUGGGCCUGGUUAGUACUUGGAUAGGAGACCGCCUAGGAAGAUCAGGUGCUGUAGGCA